UAAUACGAAGGAUGCAAGCGUUAUCCGGAAUUAUUGGGUUUAAAGGGUGCGUAGGCGGACCUAUAAGUCAGUGGUGAAAGCCCCAAGCUCAACUUGGGAACUGCCAUUGAUACUGUUGGUCUUGAGUACAGUUGAGGUAGGCGGAAUGUGUCAUGUAGCGGUGAAAUGCUUAGAUAUGACACAGAACACCGAUUGCGAAGGCAGCUUGCUAAGCUGUAACUGACGCUGAUGCACGAAAGCGUGGGUAGCAAACAGGAUUAGAUACCCUGGUAGUCCACGCCCUAAACGAUGAUAACUCGCUGUUGGCGAUACACAGUCAGCGGCCAAGCGAAAGCAUUAAGUUAUCCACCUGGGGAGUACGACCGCAAGGUUG
RNAcentral lists this ribosomal RNA (373 nucleotides) under uncultured bacterium. RNAcentral's name for it is "bacterial SSU rRNA". It matches the Rfam family "Bacterial small subunit ribosomal RNA", at positions 521 to 896 of the family's 1533-position model. The record is from RNAcentral.